AAUCGAACUCGGAGAUAGCUGGUUCUCCUCGAAAUAGCUUUAGGGCUAGCGUCAUGUAAAAUAGCCAACGGGGGUAGAGCUCUGUAAACGACUGGGGCGGGCAACUGUACCCACCGUUAACAAACUACGAAUACCGUUGGUGGUACCAUGGCAGUUAGAACAUCGGGGCUAAGCUCGGUGCUCAAAAGGGAAACAGCCCAGACCAUCAUCUAAGGUCCCUAAAUUAACACUAAGUGGGAAACAAGGUGAAAUUUCUUAAACAGCGAGGAUGUUGGCUUAGAAGCAGCCAUUCAUUUAAAGAGUGCGUAACAGCUCACUCGUCAAGAGAUUUUGCGUGGAAAAUGUAACGGGGCUAAAGUGUUAUACCGAAGAUAUGGAUUUCGUUAUUCCUACGGGUUUAACGGAGUGGUAGAGGAGCGUUCCUAUCGGCAGUGAAGCUCAAUCGUAAGGUUGGGUGGAGCGUUAGGAAGUGAGAAUGCUGGAAUGAGUAACCAUAAGAAAGGUGAGAAUCCUUUCGGCCGUAAGAGCGAGGUUUCCAGGGCUACUGUAAUAAUCCCUGGGUUAGUCGGGCCUAAGCCGAGGCGUAGCAGCGUAGGCGAUGGACAUCAGGUUAAUAUUCCUGAACCGGUUAUAAUUUGUAUACUGUGUACGGUAAAUUAGUCGAAGCGGAUUAUUGGUAUAUAUCCGUCCAACUUAGCGGGAACGCAAAAGGAGUGAAAGUUAAUCUACGGAUUAACGAUUUUGAUGAAAGUACUGGCUAGAAAAGCAGAUAUACGCGUGGUUAUAGCCGCCCGUACCGCAAACCAACACAGGUGCUCGAGUCGAGUAGACUCAGGCUUACGAGAGACCCUUCGCUAAGGAACUCGGCAAAACAGCGACCGUAACUUCGGGAUAAGGUCUGCCUCCGCAUCAUUCGAUGCGAGUCGUGUUUCAAGCAAUUAGGUUAAGAUUAAUGGUAUAUAUGAGUAUCUUAAACUUCUUUACCGAGAUAGAACAAGUCAAAUGGCUUAGCUUGGAACGCGGCAACCUCGUAUCAAACGAUGCGGAGGCCGCAGCAAAAGAGCCCACGGAACUGUUUACCAAAAACACAGGUCUCUGCUAACACGAAAGUGGAUGUAUAGGGGCUGACUCCUGCCCAAUGCUGGAAGGUUAAGGGGAGCGCUUCACGGUGCGAACUGAAGCCCUAGUCAAUGGCGGCGGUAACUAUAACCGUCCUAAGGUAGCGAAAUUCCUUGUCAGGUAAGUUCUGACCCGCACGAAUGGAGUAAUCAUGUGGGCACUGUCUCGGCGAAGGACUCGGUGAAAGUGCAUUGGCGGUAAAGAUGCCGUCUGUCCAUGCCAGGACGAGAAGACCCCAUGGAGCUUUACUACAGCUUUACAUUGACACGGGUUACAUCAUGUGUAGCAUAGGUGGGAGGCUUUGAAGCAGAUACGCCAGUAUUUGUGGAGCCACAGGUGAAAUACCACCCUUGAUGUAGUCUUUGUCUUACCAUUGCCGUUAUCCGGUAAUGGGACCGUGUAUGGUGGGUAGUUUAACUGGGGCGGUUGCCUCCUAAAGAGUAGCGGAGGCGUUCAAAGGUUGGCUAGCUUCGGAUGGAAAUCGAAGUGAUAGUGCAUGCGCAAAAGCCAGCUUGACUGCGAGAAUUACAAUUCGACCAGAGUGGAAACACGGAGCAAGUGACCCGCUGUAAGAACAUUGUUCAUUGAAUGUGGGAUCGACAGCGCACACGGAUAAAAGUUACCCUGGGGAUAACAGGCUUAUCGCGCCCAAUAGUUCACAUAGACGGCGCGGUUUGGCACCUCGAUGUCGGCUCAUCACAUCCUGGAGGGGGAGCACCUUCCAAGGGUUCGGCUGUUCGCCGAUUAAAGUGGUACGCGAGCUGGGUUCAGAACGUCGUGAGACAGUUCGGUUUAUAUCCGGCAUGGACGUAAGGAUUCUUGAGGAGAUUUGUCUCUAGUACGAGAGGACCGAGAUGAACGAACCUCUGGUGUAUCGAUUGUGGCCACCUGCUGCAGUGUCGAGUAGCUAUGUUCGGUUAAGAUAAGCGCUGAAAGCAUAUUAAGCGCGAAACUGACUCCAAGAUUAGGAAUCCCAUGAGGACACAGAAAGAUGAUCUGUUUGAUAGGCGCAAGGUGUAAACCUGGUAACAGGCUAGCCGAAGCGUACUAAUAGUCCAAUCGCCUUUUUA
This 2189-nucleotide ribosomal RNA is filed under the name human oral metagenome. RNAcentral describes it as "bacterial LSU rRNA". It matches the Rfam family "Bacterial large subunit ribosomal RNA", at positions 831 to 2925 of the family's 2925-position model. The record is from RNAcentral.